Molecule: ribosomal RNA, 497 nt
Filed under: uncultured bacterium
Lineage: Bacteria
Description: partial 16S ribosomal RNA
Rfam family: Bacterial small subunit ribosomal RNA
Source: RNAcentral
GAUGAACGCUGGCGGCGUGCCUAAUACAUGCAAGUCGAGCGAACAGAUGAGGAGCUUGCUCCUCUGACGUUAGCGGCGGACGGGUGAGUAACACGUGGAUAACCUACCUAUAAGACUGGGAUAACUUCGGGAAACCGGAGCUAAUACCGGAUAAUAUAUUGAACCGCAUGGUUCAAUAGUGAAAGACGGUUUUGCUGUCACUUAUAGAUGGUUCCGCGCCGCAUUAGCUAGUUGGUAAGGUAACGGCUUACCAAGGCAACGAUGCGUAGCCGACCUGAGAGGGUGAUCGGCCACACUGGAACUGAGACACGGUCCAGACUCCUACGGGAGGCAGCAGUAGGGAAUCUUCCGCAAUAGGCGAAAGCCUGACGGAGCAACGCCGCGUGAGUGAUGAAGGUCUUCGGAUCGUAAAACUCUGUUAUUAGGGAAGAACAAAUGUGUAAGUAACUAUGCACGUCUUGACGGUACCUAAUCAGAAAGCCACGGCUAACUACGUG